GAUGAACGCUGGCGGCGUGCCUAAUACAUGCAAGUCGAGCGAACGGACGAGAAGCUUGCUUCUCUGAUGUUAGCGGCGGACGGGUGAGUAACACGUGGAUAACCUACCUAUAAGACUGGGAUAACUUCGGGAAACCGGAGCUAAUACCGGAUAAUAUUUUGAACCGCAUGGUUCAAAAGUGAAAGACGGUCUUGCUGUCACUUAUAGAUGGAUCCGCGCUGCAUUAGCUAGUUGGUAAGGUAACGGCUUACCAAGGCAACGAUGCAUAGCCGACCUGAGAGGGUGGUCGGCCACCCUGGAACUUAGACACCGUCCAGACUCCUAAGGGAGGCCGCAGUAGGGAAUCCUCCGCAAUGGGCGGAAGCCUGACGGAGCAACGCCGCGUGAGGUAUGAAGGUCUUCGGGUCGUAAAACUCUGUUAUUAGGGAAAAACCAAUUUGUAAGUAAAUGUGCCCAUCUUGACGGUACCUAAUCAGAAAGCCCCGGCUAACUACGUG
Molecule: ribosomal RNA, 497 nt
Filed under: uncultured bacterium
Lineage: Bacteria
Description: partial 16S ribosomal RNA
Rfam family: Bacterial small subunit ribosomal RNA
Source: RNAcentral